This 603-nucleotide small RNA is filed under the name marine sediment metagenome. The record is from RNAcentral. RNAcentral also lists the same sequence under 1 other name.
AGGCAGGUGGCGCAGUAUCCUAGUCACACUCGGUGUUUCUGAAGGCGGGCCUAAAAAUCCGCCAAGGGCACAACGAUGAAGUUCCUGGUGCUGGCUUCUGACGCCCAGUCGGGGGUUGGUGCUGGGAGUUAAGGGGGGGGGCGAUCCACAAGGGCAUGUGGGCGUUGACCCUGCCCCCGCGGAGGCCCAAGCGCGUGGUCAAUGUCGAGAUACGAUUACGCCUUGGGGGAUGAACCUGCAUGCGGUGUAGGCAUGCUGUGUGCAGUGUAGCCUGCCUUGAGCGGGAUGGGGGACAGGCUGAGAAGACGUUGCUGCGGUGCGGGCCCGGUUCAGCAGCAACGGUUGAGUCCAAAACCCAUUCUGCAAAAGAGGCUAGGAAACAUUUGAGGGUGUUGAGGAAAACUCCUAGGCUGUUCGCAUCAAGACCCGAAGCCCGGCGGGGAUUAUAGUGUGUCCUAAGUGGUAAUCCAGUCCUGCUUGCGGUGACGGAGCAGGGGUACCGUUAAAGGGAAACCACCAUGGCGGCGACGCCAGGCCGGUACCCGGGAAAGCCUGCUGGACCUAAGGCACAAUGUUUACCCGGUGGGCUGCCAUCUGCCUCAA